UCCCUGGUGGUCCAAUGGUUAAGAUUUUGUGCUUUCACUGCCAAGGGCCUGGGUUCAAUCCCUAGUUGGGGAA
RNAcentral lists this transfer RNA (73 nucleotides) under Capra hircus (goat). It matches the Rfam family "tRNA". From Rfam's summary of the family: Transfer RNA (tRNA) molecules are approximately 80 nucleotides in length. Their secondary structure includes four short double-helical elements and three loops (D, anti-codon, and T loops). Lineage: Eukaryota; Metazoa; Chordata; Mammalia; Artiodactyla; Bovidae. The record is from Rfam by way of RNAcentral. RNAcentral also lists the same sequence under 1 other name.